UACGUAGGGUGCGAGCGUUGUUCGGAAUUACUGGGCGUAAAGGGCGCGUAGGCGGCUCUGUGCGUCGGGCGUGAAAGGCCUGGGCUCAACCCAGGAAUGGCGCUCGAUACGGCGGAGCUCGAGUGUGGGAGAGGAUGGUGGAAUUCCCAGUGUAGAGGUGAAAUUCGUAGAUAUUGGGAAGAAUACCAGAGGCGAAGGCGGCUACCUGGACAAUUGCUGACGCUCAGGCACGAAAGCGUGGGGAGCAAAAGGG
RNAcentral lists this ribosomal RNA (253 nucleotides) under uncultured bacterium. RNAcentral describes it as "partial 16S ribosomal RNA". It matches the Rfam family "Bacterial small subunit ribosomal RNA", at positions 524 to 776 of the family's 1533-position model. The record is from RNAcentral.